AUGCUAGCAAAGCCGCCGGAGACCAUAUCUGCAUCACUCGCAGUUGGGGCGCACUUCGGCCGCGCCCCUCGACGCCCUUGGCCGCAAGGCACCACCACCAACAGCAGCAGCACUGCUGCACCUCCACGCGCCGGAACCGGCCGCCGGUGCACCGGCCGAGCUCCACGCCGCCCCUGCACGCGCAGGCCCUGCAUGGCCCAGAUCGGGCCCGCAGCACCGCCGCGCGCGCCGCGCGCCGUGCCCUGCACUGCUGCCACCCCACGCUACACCGGAGAACCACGAAUCAGGAGCCACCUCGCUAGAGCCCGCCGGAGCGCCGCCCGAGACCAGUCGCCACCGCCACGCAGAUCCAGAGCAAGUUAA
This 363-nucleotide ribosomal RNA is filed under the name Triticum aestivum (bread wheat). Its description in RNAcentral is "partial small subunit ribosomal RNA". The record is from RNAcentral. Lineage: Eukaryota; Viridiplantae; Streptophyta; Magnoliopsida; Poales; Poaceae.